CUAAUUCCGCGUGAGGGAUUGCAGUGGAUAUCUCGCUGGCUAGCCAGCGGAAUAGUAGCGUAAAGCCCGACCCCAA
This 76-nucleotide small RNA is filed under the name Aquimarina brevivitae. RNAcentral's name for it is "Flavo-1 RNA". The record is from RNAcentral. Lineage: Bacteria; Pseudomonadati; Bacteroidota; Flavobacteriia; Flavobacteriales; Flavobacteriaceae.